GUAGCCUAAUGAAAAAUUGUGGCUAUGUUCAACUAAGUGUUUCUCUAUAUGUAAUAAAAACAAUAUGAGCUUCAACAAUGUGUUCCUAAGAUGCAAUUUAACCCUCAAUCAAUGUAUAUGGCAAUAUCUAACAAGGCAUGCACCAUACAAUAUACAAUUGAUUUCUCAAGUCACUUAAUAUGUCCACAAAUUUAUCAACUCAAUCUAUUUAACCAACAUUCAAUAUCAUGUAUAUGAAGAAAAAUUUAAAAUUGCACGUAAGUAAAAUGGUAAAGGAUAGAGAGAUCAAACACAAGGAUUUUUAUAGUGGUUCAGCUUAACUAGCCUACAUCCACUCU
RNAcentral lists this unclassified non-coding RNA (338 nucleotides) under Hevea brasiliensis (rubber tree). Lineage: Eukaryota; Viridiplantae; Streptophyta; Magnoliopsida; Malpighiales; Euphorbiaceae. The record is from RNAcentral.